UCAUCCUCAUCCUCAAAUAACAACAUAUCCAUUUUUGCAUAAAUUCUCUGAACCACAUCCCCAAGACUCUGACAAUACCUGUUUUUUAUGAUCUUUCCCAUAUAUUUUUCAAGGCUCCAAUCACCAAAAAAGCCUCCCUGCAGAUGGCACUGAAUGGUCUCUAAAAGCAAGCAAAUUUGCUUCACAAACUUUUGUUUUGUAGACUCCCCAAAACUUGCUCCAACCUCUGAUUGGAG
RNAcentral lists this unclassified non-coding RNA (236 nucleotides) under Hevea brasiliensis (rubber tree). The record is from RNAcentral. Lineage: Eukaryota; Viridiplantae; Streptophyta; Magnoliopsida; Malpighiales; Euphorbiaceae.